Molecule: unclassified non-coding RNA, 278 nt
Filed under: Melaleuca rupestris
Lineage: Eukaryota; Viridiplantae; Streptophyta; Magnoliopsida; Myrtales; Myrtaceae
Source: RNAcentral
CAUUUUGGGUUUUUUUUUUUUUCCCUCCCGAUUUAUUUUCGACGCGCGGCUCUGUAGCGUCGGGCUCGGAAAGAGCUUUCCGAAGAGUACUCACGGGCCCCGGGAGUCCAUCGGGACCGAAAGAUAGGCACGUUUAGGCGGAGAAGCGCUGUUUAGUGAGAAAUUAAAUAUUUGGAAUUUCGUCGUGCGCAAGUUGUCUUCCUUUAAUUGCUCGAAAAUUUCGCGACGGGUCAUCGACAUAGAUUCGCUACAAGUAAAUUAGCAAUGCGUAACAUGAC